RNAcentral lists this ribosomal RNA (2875 nucleotides) under Acinetobacter baumannii. Its description in RNAcentral is "bacterial LSU rRNA". It matches the Rfam family "Bacterial large subunit ribosomal RNA". Lineage: Bacteria; Pseudomonadati; Pseudomonadota; Gammaproteobacteria; Moraxellales; Moraxellaceae. The record is from RNAcentral.
GUUGUAUAGUCAAGUAAUUAAGUGCAUGUGGUGGAUGCCUUGGCAGUCAGAGGCGAUGAAAGACGUGAUAGCCUGCGAAAAGCUCCGGGGAGGCGGCAAAUAUCCUUUGAUCCGGAGAUGUCUGAAUGGGGGAACCCACCUACUUUAAGGUAGGUAUUGCAACAUGAAUACAUAGUGUUGCAAGGCGAACGAGGGGAAGUGAAACAUCUCAGUACCCUUAGGAAAAGAAAUCAAUUGAGAUUCCCUCAGUAGCGGCGAGCGAACGGGGAUCAGCCCAUUAAGUUAUGUGUGUUUUAGUGGAACGCUCUGGGAAGUGCGAACGUAGAGGGUGAUAUUCCCGUACACGAAAGGGCACACAUAAUGAUGACGAGUAGGGCGAGGCACGUGAAACCUUGUCUGAAUAUGGGGGGACCAUCCUCCAAGGCUAAAUACUCCUGACUGACCGAUAGUGAACCAGUACCGUGAGGGAAAGGCGAAAAGAACCCCUGUGAGGGGAGUGAAAUAGAUCCUGAAACCGCAUGCAUACAAGCAGUGGGAGCACCUUCGUGGUGUGACUGCGUACCUUUUGUAUAAUGGGUCAGCGACUUAUAUUCAGUAGCAAGGUUAACCGUAUAGGGGAGCCGUAGAGAAAUCGAGUCUUAAUAGGGCGUUUAGUUGCUGGGUAUAGACCCGAAACCAGGCGAUCUAUCCAUGAGCAGGUUGAAGGUUGGGUAACACUAACUGGAGGACCGAACCCACUGUCGUUGAAAAGCCAGGGGAUGACUUGUGGAUAGGGGUGAAAGGCUAAUCAAGCCUGGUGAUAGCUGGUUCUCCCCGAAAGCUAUUUAGGUAGCGCCUCGGACGAAUACCAUAGGGGGUAGAGCACUGUUUCGGCUAGGGGGUCAUCCCGACUUACCAAACCGAUGCAAACUCCGAAUACCUAUGAGUACUAUCCGGGAGACAGACUGCGGGUGCUAACGUCCGUAGUCAAGAGGAAAACAAUCCAGACCGCCAGCUAAGGCCCCAAAAUCAUAGUUAAGUGGGAAACGAUGUGGGAAGGCAUAGACAGCUAGGAGGUUGGCUUAGAAGCAGCCACCCUUUAAAGAAAGCGUAAUAGCUCACUAGUCGAGUCGGCCUGCGCGGAAGAUGUAACGGGGCUAAAACUAUGUGCCGAAGCUGCGGAUNNNNNNNNNNNNNNNNNNAUGCUGGAGGUAUCAGAAGUGCGAAUGCUGACGUGAGUAACGACAAAACGGGUGAAAAACCCGUUCGCCGAAAGACCAAGGGUUCCAGUCCAACGUUAAUCGGGGCUGGGUGAGUCGACCCCUAAGGCGAGGCCGAAAGGCGUAGUCGAUGGGAAAAUGGUUAAUAUUCCAUUACUUCUGUGUAAUGCGAUGAGAGGACGGAGAAGGCUAAAUCAGCCUGGCGUUGGUUGUCCAGGUGAAAGGAUGUAGGCAUGUAUCUUAGGCAAAUCCGGGGUACUCUAUGCUGAGAUCUGAUAGCAAGCUGUACUUGUACAGCGAAGUGGUUGAUGCCAUGCUUCCAGGAAAAGUCUCUAAGCUUCAGUUACACAGGAAUCGUACCCGAAACCGACACAGGUGGUCAGGUCGAGUAGACCAAGGCGCUUGAGAGAACUCUGCUGAAGGAACUAGGCAAAAUGGUACCGUAACUUCGGGAGAAGGUACGCUGUUGUUGGUGAUGGAACUCGCUUCCUGAGCUGACGACAGCCGCAGAAACCAGGCCGCUGCAACUGUUUAUUAAAAACAUAGCACUCUGCAAACACGAAAGUGGACGUAUAGGGUGUGAUGCCUGCCCGGUGCUGGAAGGUUAAUUGAUGGGGUUAGCGUAAGCGAAGCUCUUGAUCGAAGCCCCAGUAAACGGCGGCCGUAACUAUAACGGUCCUAAGGUAGCGAAAUUCCUUGUCGGGUAAGUUCCGACCUGCACGAAUGGCAUAAUGAUGGCGGCGCUGUCUCCAGCAGAGGCUCAGUGAAAUCGAAAUCGCUGUGAAGAUGCAGUGUACCCGCGGCUAGACGGAAAGACCCCGUGAACCUUUACUGCAGCUUGACACUGAACUUUGACCUUACUUGUGUAGGAUAGGUGGGAGGCUUUGAAGCUGGAACGCUAGUUCCAGUGGAGCCGUCCUUGAAAUACCACCCUGGUAAUGUUGAGGUUCUAACUCUGUCCCGUGAUCCGGGACGAGGACCGUGUCUGGUGGGUAGUUUGACUGGGGCGGUCUCCUCCUAAAGAGUAACGGAGGAGUACGAAGGUGCGCUCAGCGUGGUCGGAAAUCACGCGUAGAGUAUAAAGGCAAAAGCGCGCUUAACUGCGAGACCCACAAGUCGAGCAGGUACGAAAGUAGGUCUUAGUGAUCCGGUGGUUCUGUAUGGAAGGGCCAUCGCUCAACGGAUAAAAGGUACUCUGGGGAUAACAGGCUGAUACCGCCCAAGAGUUCAUAUCGACGGCGGUGUUUGGCACCUCGAUGUCGGCUCAUCUCAUCCUGGGGCUGAAGCAGGUCCCAAGGGUAUGGCUGUUCGCCAUUUAAAGAGGUACGCGAGCUGGGUUUAGAACGUCGUGAGACAGUUCGGUCCCUAUCUACCGUGGGCGCUGGAAAUUUGAGAGGAUCUGCUCCUAGUACGAGAGGACCAGAGUGGACGAACCUCUGGUGUACCGGUUGUGACGCCAGUCGCAUCGCCGGGUAGCUAUGUUCGGAAGGGAUAACCGCUGAAAGCAUCUAAGCGGGAAGCCUACCUCAAGAUAAGAUUUCCCUAGGACUUUAUGUCCUCUAAAGAGCCGUUCGAGACUAGGACGUUGAUAGGUUGGAUGUGGAAGCAUAGUGAUAUGUGAAGCUGACCAAUACUAAUUGCUCGUGAGGCUUGACUAUACAACACCCAAGCAGUUG